Molecule: small RNA, 85 nt
Filed under: Chryseobacterium sp. AG844
Lineage: Bacteria; Pseudomonadati; Bacteroidota; Flavobacteriia; Flavobacteriales; Weeksellaceae
Description: Flavo-1 RNA
Source: RNAcentral
CCAUAGCCCCGAUAGAAGCGGUUACCCCACAGCAGCCACGGCUUUAGGCAGGCGCGAGGAGUAUGAGCGGAUAGCGGGAGAAAGC